RNAcentral lists this ribosomal RNA (253 nucleotides) under uncultured bacterium. RNAcentral describes it as "partial 16S ribosomal RNA". It matches the Rfam family "Bacterial small subunit ribosomal RNA", at positions 524 to 776 of the family's 1533-position model. The record is from RNAcentral.
UACGAGGGGUGCAAGCGUUGUUCGGAAUUACUGGGCGUAAAGGGUGCGUAGGCGGUUUGACAAGUCUGAUGUGAAAUCUAUGGGCUCAACCCAUAGUCUGCAUUAGAAACUGUCGGGCUUGAGUAUGGGAGAGGUGAGUGGAAUUUCCGGUGUAGCGGUGAAAUGCGUAGAUAUCGGAAGGAACACCUGUGGCGAAAGCGGCUCACUGGACCAUUACUGACGCUGAUGCACGAAAGCGAGGGGAGCAAACAGG